RNAcentral lists this ribosomal RNA (443 nucleotides) under uncultured bacterium. RNAcentral describes it as "partial 16S ribosomal RNA". It matches the Rfam family "Bacterial small subunit ribosomal RNA", at positions 338 to 795 of the family's 1533-position model. The record is from RNAcentral.
CCUACGGGAGGCAGCAGUGGGGAAUAUUGCACAAUGGGGGGAACCCUGAUGCAGCAAUGCCGCGUGAAGGAUGAAGGUUUUCGGAUUGUAAACUUCUUUUGUCCGGGACGAAGAAAGUGACGGUACCGUAAGAAUAAGCACGGGCUAACUACGGGCCAGCAGCCGCGGUAAUCCGUAGGUGGCAAGCGUUAUCCGGAUUUACUGGGUGUAAAGGGCGAGUAGGCGGGAUUGCAAGUCAGAUGUCAAAACUAGGGGCUCAACCGAUAGAGGGCAUUUGAAACGGCAGUUCUUGAGUGAUGGAGAGGCAGGCGGAAUUCCCGGUGUAGCGGUGGAAUGCGUAGAGAUCGGGAGGAACACCAGUGGCGAAGGCGGCCUGCUGGACAUUAACUGACGCUGAGGCGCGAACGCGUGGGGAGCAAACAGGAUUAGAUACCCGGGUAGUC